AUAUGCUGCAUCUUAUUUAUUUUAAGAUUAUAAUGAACCCCAUAGGUCUGGGCAUGGUUUUAGGGUUGUGAUGAAAGCUAACUCCCUCUCCCCCUUAUGCUGUACUAAUCACGCUAGUGAGAUCUAAUUCUUUGAUAGUCCUAACCUAAAAUAUUUUUAGUCAUUGGUACAUUGAGUCAGAGAUCAAUGAUACCGGUAAGACUGGCAUGUCCUAUGUAUGCUUAGAAAUAAGGAUGGUUGAUCUCACAACCACUUGUGUGGAGACACUAAUAUAAGGAUAUGGAUGCUCAUUAGAGAAUGAGUUCACUGAAUUGACCUGUGAGAGAAUAUCAGAUGGAGUCUUAUUUACAUGUCAACUGAUAAUUCUUUAGUGGGAGUUGUGUAUGUGAUUCUUAGACCUGAGAUCACUAUGGUACCUUGUGUACUUGGAUCCAUAUUUUGAUUCACUACCUAAUUUGAUUCUCUAAUCCUUAUGUGAGGUGUUCUGGAUAUGGUGAAGAGUGCAUAGAGGUUGUGAGUAAUCAAUAAGGGAUCAGUCACUCCUAAUAAUGGGAGCGAACAUCCUAUGUGAUCUCAUAAGUUGUUGAUUCGAAAGUCUUUGAUCAAAGUAGGAUGAUAAUUAGAAAAGUAUUUCUAAUAUAUCAUCAACUAAAUCAUCACCUUCUGAUCGAGAUACAUAAUGAUAAGUGAUUGAGUUUGACAUAUUUUCAUACCCAC
RNAcentral lists this long non-coding RNA (717 nucleotides) under Elaeis guineensis (African oil palm). RNAcentral's name for it is "long non-coding RNA (EGUI_LNC054793)". The record is from RNAcentral. Lineage: Eukaryota; Viridiplantae; Streptophyta; Magnoliopsida; Arecales; Arecaceae.